AGGACAAAAAGCCUGAUUCAAGGAGACGCAACAGGCGUAACAAGAAAGGAAAAGGAAACAAUCAAGGUGUAGAAGCUCAGCCCAUAGAUGCACCUAUGAUUAGAUCUUAUGCCGCAGUCUUAAAGACUGGUCUGGCAUAAAUACCCCGACUUAAAAGAAUUAAACAGCAGUAAUCUGCAGUGUAUCAUGGAAGCGYGAUAGACAGGUUAAUCAUUAAGGAUUAUCAUCACUGCAGAGCUGCAUCGGGGCACAAAUGGGCUGAAACAAUUUAUAUAACAAGAUGAAUAAACAUGAAGAAUAAUAAUAUACAAUAAUAACUUGCAAUUAUUAGCAAAAUUUGCAUACUUAAAAUAAUGAAAAACACUUAUACACAUACACACUGGCACAUAGACGUAUCAUCAGUUUAAUAAAAUAUUCCAUUA
Molecule: long non-coding RNA, 422 nt
Organism: Exaiptasia diaphana
Lineage: Eukaryota; Metazoa; Cnidaria; Anthozoa; Actiniaria; Aiptasiidae
Exons: 3
Source: RefSeq, a predicted model, not a curated record